UACGGGGGGAGCAAGCGUUGUUCGGAUUUACUGGGCGUAAAGGGCGCGUAGGCGGCCACCGCAAGUCGACUGUGAAAUCUCCGGGCUUAACUCGGAAAGGUCAGCCGAUACUGCGGGGCUAGAGUGCAGAAGGGGCAACUGGAAUUCUCGGUGUAGCGGUGGAAUGCGUAGAUAUCGAGAGGAACACCGGUGGCGAAGGCGGCCUGCUGGGCAGUUGCUGACACUGAGGCGCGACAGCGUGGGGAGCAAACAGG
This 254-nucleotide ribosomal RNA is filed under the name uncultured bacterium. RNAcentral describes it as "partial 16S ribosomal RNA". It matches the Rfam family "Bacterial small subunit ribosomal RNA", at positions 524 to 776 of the family's 1533-position model. The record is from RNAcentral.